UACGGAGGGGGCUAGCGUUGUUCGGAAUUACUGGGCGUAAAGCGCACGUAGGCGGCUUUGUAAGUUAGAGGUGAAAGCCCGGGGCUCAACUCCGGAAUUGCCUUUAAGACUGCAUCGCUUGAAUUGUGGAGAGGUAAGUGGAAUUCCGAGUGUAGAGGUGAAAUUCGUAGAUAUUCGGAAGAACACCAGUGGCGAAGGCGACUCACUGGACAUGUAUUGACGCUGAGGUACGAAAGCGUGGGGAGCAAACAGG
Molecule: ribosomal RNA, 253 nt
Filed under: uncultured bacterium
Lineage: Bacteria
Description: partial 16S ribosomal RNA
Rfam family: Bacterial small subunit ribosomal RNA
Source: RNAcentral